UACGGGGGGGGCAAGCGUUGUUCGGAAUUACUGGGCGUAAAGGGGACGUAGGCGGCCAACUAAGUCCGACGUGAAAUCCCAAGGCUUAACCUUGGAACUGCGUCGGAUACUGGAUGGCUUGAAUUCGGGAGAGGGAUGCAGAGUUCCAGGUGUAGCGGUGAAAUGCGUAGAUAUCUGGAGGAAUACCGGUGGCGAAGGCGGCAUCCUGGACCGACAUUGACGCUGAAAGCCGAAAGCUAGGGGAGCAAACGGG
RNAcentral lists this ribosomal RNA (253 nucleotides) under uncultured bacterium. Its description in RNAcentral is "partial 16S ribosomal RNA". It matches the Rfam family "Bacterial small subunit ribosomal RNA", at positions 524 to 776 of the family's 1533-position model. The record is from RNAcentral.